GGAAGAGGUGCUGAUCACCUCAUGGAAUCACAGGCUUGUUUGGGUUGGAAGGGACCAUGAAGACAAUCAGGACUCUGGCAUCCGAAUUCACAGCAAAGAGCACGUCCAGAAGUGCCUCCUCACCCUCCUGCAUGUCAUGAGUGUCUUCCACGGCACCACCCGGCCUCUUUGGGAACGGGAACGGCUGCUGGGAGCUCUGGCAGCAGCACCUGGAGAGCAGGUAAAAAGAGCCAUAGGAUUGUUUUGGCUGCUGCUGGAUCUGGUUUUCCCUCU
Molecule: long non-coding RNA, 273 nt
Organism: Lepidothrix coronata (blue-crowned manakin)
Lineage: Eukaryota; Metazoa; Chordata; Aves; Passeriformes; Pipridae
Exons: 3
Source: RefSeq, a predicted model, not a curated record